GUUAAUAGGACGCUAACGAAGCAUAGCCUUUCCGAAGCAUAGCUGGCAGCAUUACCACCCAUCUGUGCCGAGUGGGAUGUGCAAGCAGAAGUCAGGGCUGAAAACCCUCCACCUGUUUUCAGAAAGUGAUUUGACACUCAGUGUUAAUUCAGAUCAUCCAGAGUGACAGGUACAUGCUCUUCAGGAACUCCUGUUCUGCUUAAGAAAAAGAAAACUUUCAUCUGAAGCACACUAAUAAUUGUUGCAAAGUAAGAAGGCCCUACAGUGACCUUACUGUUGGCUGAUUCCAGAGAGCCACCUCAUUAUUCUGAGUUGAAAUUUCUCAAUCUCCAAAAUCAGAGGGAUGCCUGCCUCAAAAGCAUCACUGCCCUUAGACAAGAUAUGGAAGUAGGAGCGAGUCUGUUUAUAGGCUGCACAUGAUUCAGUAUGACUUGAAGUGCUCCCCUGCGAAAACCACAAUUUCACUUGGGUUUGAUGAGCAUGCCAUGAUGGCAUUCUAAAGGUAGGUUUACCUUUUGAAAUGAUUGAAGAGUAGAAAUAGACUGUGUACUCUUAGCAGGGAGCAACUUCUGAUACCAAAUUUUGCAGUCUAGAACUGGGGUUUUGUUGUGUUUUGAGGUUUCUUCUAAAACGGUGGUCUUUUCAGUCAGCAGAAAAAAGUUUUGCCAGUGUUCUUGUAUCAGUUAAACUCUUAUAUAAACAAUCUUAGAAGGGCGACUGUUAAAAGAUGUGAGAUAUAAAUCAGCAAUCUCUGUUCCUAAUCACAGUGGAUGCAGAGGUUUCUUUUGAUUUUUAAUGAAGAAGUUUGGAGCUGGAGACUACAAAUAUUUAAAGUUAUUUUGAUGUUAAUUUUUCAAAUUUCCAAGGUAUCUAAGAUGUAGCUAAUAAUAAUAGCAGGCGUUGUCUGUUUCUCCCAGCAUGUGGCAUGAAAGUAGUGUGGUCACAGAGCUAUGCAUUAUUUACAUGGUGUCAACAUGUCAGCAAGUGGUGUGGCAGAGAGCCAGCUUAAAUCACUUCUGAUUUUAAAUACAGGACACUGAAUAAUAACGUUGUGUCACACUUGAGGACACUGGAAUCUGGCAAAUCAACAGUAGCUCAAUGCGUCAAAGUCAUUUGGAAGGCUUCUUCCUUUCCUGAAUGAUCACAGAAUCAAUAUAAAGGUUCAAGGAAACUGUAUAAAGUUGGCAUUUUUUUUUCCUUCCAAAGUGAAAGAAACAGGAAACAGACAUUUUUGAUUGCUUUGUGCAAAGAUGUGUCAUGAGGUCACUGCCCUCAUGCAGGAAUGUUUGCUCCUGAGAAUGGGCAACCACCCCAUGGUGUAUGUUUGCAUUAAUCUUUGCUGUCCUCUCUAUGUGGCAAAUCUGGUAUGAUAAUUUUCAUCCAUUAGUUUUUUGCAGAAUCUACUGUACUAUCUCAAACAG
Sturnus vulgaris (Common starling) is the source of this 1421-nucleotide non-coding RNA. Lineage: Eukaryota; Metazoa; Chordata; Aves; Passeriformes; Sturnidae. The record is from RefSeq and is a predicted model, not a curated record.